RNAcentral lists this transfer RNA (88 nucleotides) under Salmo salar (Atlantic salmon). It matches the Rfam family "tRNA". Rfam says of the family: Transfer RNA (tRNA) molecules are approximately 80 nucleotides in length. Their secondary structure includes four short double-helical elements and three loops (D, anti-codon, and T loops). Lineage: Eukaryota; Metazoa; Chordata; Actinopteri; Salmoniformes; Salmonidae. The record is from Rfam by way of RNAcentral.
CCCUGUGGCUCAGUUGGUAGAGCAUGGUGUUUGCAAUGCCAGCAUGGUGUGUGCAACGCCAAGGUUGUGGGUUUGAUUCCCACAGGGG